Molecule: ribosomal RNA, 1384 nt
Filed under: Lactiplantibacillus plantarum
Lineage: Bacteria; Bacillati; Bacillota; Bacilli; Lactobacillales; Lactobacillaceae
Description: bacterial SSU rRNA
Rfam family: Bacterial small subunit ribosomal RNA
Source: RNAcentral
AUUGGUGCUUGCAUCAUGAUUUACAUUUGAGUGAGUGGCGAACUGGUGAGUAACACGUGGGAAACCUGCCCAGAAGCGGGGGAUAACACCUGGAAACAGAUGCUAAUACCGCAUAACAACUUGGACCGCAUGGUCCGAGUUUGAAAGAUGGCUUCGGCUAUCACUUUUGGAUGGUCCCGCGGCGUAUUAGCUAGAUGGUGGGGUAACGGCUCACCAUGGCAAUGAUACGUAGCCGACCUGAGAGGGUAAUCGGCCACAUUGGGACUGAGACACGGCCCAAACUCCUACGGGAGGCAGCAGUAGGGAAUCUUCCACAAUGGACGAAAGUCUGAUGGAGCAACGCCGCGUGAGUGAAGAAGGGUUUCGGCUCGUAAAACUCUGUUGUUAAAGAAGAACAUAUCUGAGAGUAACUGUUCAGGUAUUGACGGUAUUUAACCAGAAAGCCACGGCUAACUACGUGCCAGCAGCCGCGGUAAUACGUAGGUGGCAAGCGUUGUCCGGAUUUAUUGGGCGUAAAGCGAGCGCAGGCGGUUUUUUAAGUCUGAUGUGAAAGCCUUCGGCUCAACCGAAGAAGUGCAUCGGAAACUGGGAAACUUGAGUGCAGAAGAGGACAGUGGAACUCCAUGUGUAGCGGUGAAAUGCGUAGAUAUAUGGAAGAACACCAGUGGCGAAGGCGGCUGUCUGGUCUGUAACUGACGCUGAGGCUCGAAAGUAUGGGUAGCAAACAGGAUUAGAUACCCUGGUAGUCCAUACCCUAAACGAUGAAUGCUAAGUGUUGGAGGGUUUCCGCCCUUCAGUGCUGCAGCUAACGCAUUAAGCAUUCCGCGUGGGGAGUACGGCCGCAAGGAUGAAACUCAAAGGAAUUGACGGGGGCCCGCACAAGCGGUGGAGCAUGUGGUUUAAUUCGAAGCUACGCGAAGAACCUUACCAGGUCUUGACAUACUAUGCAAAUCUAAGAGAUUAGACGUUCCCUUCGGGGACAUGGAUACAGGUGGUGCAUGGUUGUCGUCAGCUCGUGUCGUGAGAUGUUGGGUUAAGUCCCGCAACGAGCGCAACCCUUAUUAUCAGUUGCCAGCAUUAAGUUGGGCACUCUGGUGAGACUGCCGGUGACAAACCGGAGGAAGGUGGGGAUGACGUCAAAUCAUCAUGCCCCUUAUGACCUGGGCUACACACGUGCUACAAUGGAUGGUACAACGAGUUGCGAACUCGCGAGAGUAAGCUAAUCUCUUAAAGCCAUUCUCAGUUCGGAUUGUAGGCUGCAACUCGCCUACAUGAAGUCGGAAUCGCUAGUAAUCGCGGAUCAGCAUGCCGCGGUGAAUACGUUCCCGGGCCUUGUACACACCGCCCGUCACACCAUGAGAGUUUGUAACACCCAAAGUCGGUG